Phyllostomus discolor (pale spear-nosed bat) is the source of this 4045-nucleotide RNA transcript. It is a transcript of the gene named small integral membrane protein 14, with no coding region annotated. The transcript is spliced from 8 exons. Lineage: Eukaryota; Metazoa; Chordata; Mammalia; Chiroptera; Phyllostomidae. The record is from RefSeq and is a predicted model, not a curated record.
CGCGGAGUGCGCGCAUGCUCGGCCGACAGACCGCUGGGGUCUCGAGUCGCUGCAAUCUGUUGCGCCGCCGCCCGCGGAAGCGGGUAGAUCCGGGUCUCGUGGUUUAUAGUGACGUGGUCAGUCUCACCAAAACAGAAGAGGGGAGGAAGCCAGAGGCCGAGAGCAGCACCCGCAGCGUCCGGAAACUCCAGGCGGUCUUUCUGCCGAGCCUGGGUCCUGGCCCACAUCCUCCCCGCCCCGUCGGUUACUGUCUGGGCGGGCCUACUGCAGUAACCUGCUGGUUUACCUGUUUCCACUUUGACUUUUAAUGGUUCAUUCCUCUUACCACACCCUAAGAGAUCCUUUAAAAUGUCAGAGCACUGAUGUGAGUCUCAGCUUUCUAAAAAUACAGAAUGAAGCUGGCUUUUGCUUGACUGCACUCAUUAAUUGACAAGUGUUACAGGUGCAGCGCUUUCAAGAUUUAACAGCUAAGAAAGGUACUUCAAAUCAAGUUAGGGAUUCAGAAAGGAGAAGUGAGAGAAGACACGGGUUUGAAUCCCCCUUCUGCUGCGUGACUUGGAUUUAAACAGUGAAGUUAAAUCAAGCUGGGUAAUCAUGGCAGAAGGUGGAUUCGAUCCCUGUGAAUGUGUUUGCUCUCAUGAGCAUGCAAUGAGGAGGCUGAUCAACCUGUUGAGGCAGUCCCAGUCCUACUGCACAGACACAGAAUGUCUUCAGGAAUUACCGGGACCCUCUGGUGAUAAUGGCAUCAGUAUUACCAUGAUCUUGAUGGCCUGGAUGGUUGUUGCAGUCAUCUUGUUUCUACUGAGGCCUCCUAAUCUGAGAGGAUCCAAUCUAACUGGAAAGCCAACCAGUCCUCAUAAUGGACAAGAUCCGCCGGCCCCUCCUGUGGACUAAUUUUGUGAUAUGGGAAGUGAAAAUAGUUAACACCUUGCACGACCAAAUGAACGAAGAUGACCAGAGUACUCUUAACCCCAUUAGAACUGUUCUUCCUUUUGCAUCUGCAAUAUAGGAUGGUACUGUUUCCAUGAGCUUCUAGAAUUUUGACUUGCAAGCUUAUUUUUUUUUUGCUUCCUUUGUUAUUACCAUUCCUAUUCACAGUAUAUUUGAGUUAACAAUUGUAUUUUAAAAAGUUACAUGGGUUAUUUUGGUUAUCCUAAACUCAAACAUUCCACUUAUUUUAUUUGUGACGGUGAGCACAAUUUUGGUGAUGAUUUCUGGCCUGAUUGAAGGAAUUUGUGAUCUCUGCAUUUAAAUAUUUGAUAUAGUUUUGAUAGGCUUUGAAGUUGAUUUUUCCAUAAGGUAUUUAUAAAGUUAUUUAGGGUUGUCUGAGAUUGUACGAAAGAAAAUUAGAACCAGACUAUUUCUACUUACCUUGGUAGUUUAUUUGUGGGUGGCAGUUCUUGGGACUGUGGCAGCCUUUGGAAUAUUUUACAAGUUACACCUGAAUCUGUAUCAUCCACUACAAGUGGCUUAUGUGACUAGAAAAAGAGAAGAAGUGAAAUAAUUGUUUACUAAGGUUUUUAUUCCCAUAAAAUGUCUAAUAUUAAGAAAACUUUAAAUAAAAAUGAUUUAAACAUGGUGGAUGAGUUAUAAUCCAUUAUAUGAUAUUUGAAGCCACUGUAUACUAAAUAGCUUUACAAGAUUCACGAAAGGAGGAAAAUAGUUCAUUCUUCUUGCCUUUGCCGGAUAUAAUCUAUACAGUAAUAAUUUAAUCAGUAAUUUAUUUUAAAAAUGGGUGCCUCUCAGAAAGCUUCCUUUCUGUCUGAGUACUUCCCUGUUAAAUGAAACUCCUAAGGCUAGCUGUAUUGGGGGUCUGUUUGCUUACUGACAUUUGAAUGCUAUUUACUUAUUUACUCUAUUUUUUUCUUUGAAGAAAAGUAUUGGAGUAUUUACUUCAAAGUAAAUACUUUGUAUUGGAGUAUUGUUAUUCUUCUGACUUUAAAAAAUAUUUAAUGAAUUCUUGGUUUACCCCAAAAGGAGGGAAAUGAGAAACAAUCAAGGAUCUUUUUCUUACCCUAUAUAUUUCAUUCCUGUUUGGUAACAGGGUGGAUUGGCGUGUGGAGGAACAUGGAUGUAGGUGAAAUUUUGAACUGUAUAGAAAGUAAAAUGUUGCAUUGUUUUGGUCAGUUUGAAAGAAAAUGAAUACAAAUGUCAUUUUAAAAAGUCUGCAUAACCUGCGUGGUAUAGAUUUUUUCCUAGCAAGCAAUUGCAGAUGAUUUAUGAGGGCUAGAAGAUAUUUUUCUAUCAUAUAAGGAUUUUCCCCCCUAGACCUGUCUAGGUUUUCACUGUAUUGAUCUGAGAAAUUACCUGUAUGAAUUGAAUAAACUUCUCUAUAUCAUUAUACUGUUGAAUAGAGUCUCUGAUACAGCUGUGUGAUGCUCUUAGGAUAUUUUCCCCCUUUAUCAUCUUUAUAUUCUGGGUCAUAAACCUUGUAAGAGUUUCAUUUCAUUAUAUAAUCCCAUACUGACUGCUUGCCCUCCUCCUGUGCAUCUUGGCUUUGUGCUCAACUUCUUGAAAAAAAUACAACCUAUUCUUAAUUACUUGUGCUAAUCAGGAUAUUAUAACACAGGUAAGUCAAAUCCCAGAUAAAUAAAUACCAUAAGGUUUUUCCUCUUGCUGUGGCCUAAUGGAAGCCUGCCCAGCUCUAUAGCUUUUAAGGUACUUACAGCAGAAAGGGCAGGAAUGGCAUGUAUAAACAUUCCUAUUUCUGCCCUUGCCCCCUGAACUUUGAAUGCUUGCACAUGUAUCCUGAAGUCUGUCCUCUAAACUGCUAGAAGGGCAGUCUCUGGCGGAGAUCCUGAUAUAUUCACUGAAUCAACAGCUCACAAAUUAAUUGAGAUCUGGCUUUGGCAGAAGACGUGGCUGUGACAGGGAAACAGUGUCUAGUGUUAGAAAGAGACCUGGAAAUCUGGACUUUUAUUCCUGGUUCCUCAUUUCUGUCACAUACAUUUAAUUGACAUUACAUCUAGAAGAUUAACCUUUUCCUGUAUGGAUGAUCUAUUUAACUAGUAACAAAAGUUUUUAGUGGAGUAUUUAAUAUUGUUUUUUGUUUGUUUAUUUGUUUUUUUUUUGCUUGUAAAGUUUCUCUGCAACCCUGAAAAGGAUAGUGUACAACUGCAUAUAAAAUAUUCCUGUUAACCUUACUGGUAAUUUAUAUUCCUCUUAAUUUCUUAAGCUUCUACAUGUGGCCUUUUUAUUGAGCGCGUUCUUAUUCAUUACUUGGCUUGUAAACAUUCACCUGAACUAUGGCUACAAUCAUUUUUAAGUAAUGUGGAAAAAAAAAAGGAAGAUAAAUCUUCACACUUUAAUCACCAUGGGCUCUUAAACAUUCCACAAAUGCCAUUAAGAAUUUAUUUUGUUUUACAGUCAUUUAAUGUUCUUUUAUGCAAAAUAGUGGGUUUCUUUGCCUUUCAUAUGGAAAAAGUUAACAUUGGAACUGUGUAUAGUAAAAGAUUUUAUUAUGUAUCUAUCCAAGCACUAUCCCAUGAUCAGCAAGUCAUAUUUUGAACAACUUGGAGAUUUUCUGAAGUAACUAUUAAGUCCAGCUAUUCCGUAGUUACUUUUAGUGUCUUUGCGGUUUGUGAUGUGAUAGUGUUUAUGGAAUUACCAAAUUCUUACAUUUUCAAAGGAACCUUGGAAAUAUAUCACUCUGAAUGAAAGUCUGUCACUCUAAAUGAAUAUGUGCUAAAAUUUGACCAGCUCGGUUUAAGAUACAAAACAACUUGAAGGAGAAAUGGGAGGUUACAGUUAAUGGGUGAAAUUUUUGUUGUUCAAAUAGUAGGUUUAAUUUUAACAUCAUAAUAUUUCUAAAUGGAAAAAACCAUGUACUUGUUACCAUGUCUGAUUACUUUGUUAAAAGGAAAAGUGGUCACGUGCUAUACUAAAUGUUAAUUGCUGUUUUCAAAUGUUUAAUCAUGCCAAACAAAUCAUGUCUGUGCCAUCCAGGGUUUAUUGUCAUCUUUUACUGAGUACUUGGAUUGGGAUAAAGGGCUUGUACUAUGCACUUUUUAUUAAUGAAUAAAUAGAAAAUGUUAGUAACACUCAA